Molecule: ribosomal RNA, 279 nt
Filed under: uncultured bacterium
Lineage: Bacteria
Description: partial 16S ribosomal RNA
Rfam family: Bacterial small subunit ribosomal RNA
Source: RNAcentral
UGCCAGCCGCCGCGGUAAUACGGAGGGUCCAAGCGUUAUCCGGAUUUAUUGGGUUUAAAGGGUCCGUAGGCGGGAGAAUAAGUCAGUGGUGAAAGCCUGCAGCUUAACUGCAGAACUGCCAUUGAAACUGUUUUUCUUGAAUAUAGAUGAAGUGGGCGGAAUAUAUCAUGUAGCGGUGAAAUGCAUAGAUAUGAUAUAGAACACCGAUUGCGAAGGCAGCUCACUAAGCUACGAUUGACGCUGAGGCACGAAAGCGCGGGGAGCGAACAGGAUUAGAUA